UCUUUUCUUCUUCUACAACAAACCUUUUUUGCUUGUUUUUUGUUUUUCGUAAGUUUCCUCCCCUUUCAUGUGUGUAGUUUUUAUGCGUCGAUUAAUGCACCCUUCCAGAGGCAGGAUUGAUCACGGAGGGCCUCUUUACCAACCUUGCUACCCUCAUGAUAAUGUGCGAGUAGUUCACCACAGAUCUACGGGUCUAUAGUUAGUACCUAG
This 210-nucleotide long non-coding RNA is filed under the name Hordeum vulgare. RNAcentral's name for it is "long non-coding RNA (HVUL_LNC019755)". The record is from RNAcentral. Lineage: Eukaryota; Viridiplantae; Streptophyta; Magnoliopsida; Poales; Poaceae.